UACGUAGGGGGCGAGCGUUGUCCGGAUUUAUUGGGCGUAAAGAGCUCGUAGGCGGCUUGGCAAGUCGGGUGUGAAACCUCCAGGCUCAACUUGGAGCCGCCAUUCGAUACUGCCAUGGCUAGAGUUUGGUAGGGGACCACGGAAUUCCUGGUGUAGCGGUGAAAUGCGCAGAUAUCAGGAGGAACACCAGCGGCGAAGGCGGUGGUCUGGGCCAAUACUGACGCUGAGGAGCGAAAGCGUGGGGAGCGAACAGG
Molecule: ribosomal RNA, 254 nt
Filed under: uncultured prokaryote
Description: partial 16S ribosomal RNA
Rfam family: Bacterial small subunit ribosomal RNA
Source: RNAcentral